Molecule: ribosomal RNA, 499 nt
Filed under: uncultured bacterium
Lineage: Bacteria
Description: partial 16S ribosomal RNA
Rfam family: Bacterial small subunit ribosomal RNA
Source: RNAcentral
AUUGAACGCUGGCGGCAUGCCUUACACAUGCAAGUCGAACGGCAGCACGGGAGCAAUCCUGGUGGCGAGUGGCGAACGGGUGAGUAAAUAUCGGAACGUGCCCAGUCGUGGGGGAUAACGUAGCGAAAGUUACGCUAAUACCGCAUACGAGCUAUGGAUGAAAGCGGGGGAUCGCAAGACCUCGCGCGAGUGGAGCGGCCGAUAUCAGAUUAGGUAGUUGGUGGGGUAAAGGCUCACCAAGCCGACGAUCUGUAGCUGGUCUGAGAGAACGACCAGCCACACUGGGACUGAGACACGGCCCAGACUCCUACGGGAGGCAGCAGUGGGGAAUUUUGGACAAUGGGCGAAAGCCUGAUCCAGCCAUGCCGCGUGCAGGAUGAAGGCCUUCGGGUUGUAAACUGCUUUUGUACGGAACGAAAAGGUUUGGCCUAAUAAGCUGAGCUCAUGACGGUACCGUAAGAAUAAGCACCGGCUAACUACGUGCCAGCCGCCGCCGUAA